UUUUUGAUAAGGCAUAUGCAUUCGCGGUAAUUGCCCAAGGGGAAGUGUUGUAAAACAACCGGACCUAGUAUAGAAGGAAAGGAGGACUAGAAGUCCUAGUCCUUGUCCGGUUGCUUGUGGGCUCUUACCAAGUCUCUAAGCUAGUUCGGAGUAUAUAUAUCGGAGGAGCACCCCUUGUUGUAAUACAUCAAUAUGAGGAAUAAAGAGAAGUUCCAUCUACAUUGUGUCUUGUCUACUUGUUCUUACGCUUAUCGUGAGAGGCGUGAGAGGGAGAAGAUCCAACCGCUGACGACGUGUUUCACAACAGAUAGGAACUCAAGGAUGGUAUAUUUGGGGGGUGUCUCGUUGCAUGGAUAUCAGGGUAUGUAUGGUCCAACCUGGUCUCUUGGAGUGUAAUAAAACUUUUGAGUUUGGUUGUCCAUAUGAAAUCUUAGGACUAGUAGUGCCUCAAUAGAAAGUUAGAUUUACUUUUCCUCCGUAGGAGUAAUGAUGUUAAUGUGUAAAUGUGUAAUGGGCAAUGUGGUAUAUUACUUCAAAGCAUGUUAAAUAUGAUAAAUUGGUGUUGGAGUAUAGUUUAAAAAAUAAACAUUGUUGUGGCACUACUCUUUUGUUAACUUUCUUGUCUCGUGCCGGUAUGUUUUGUAUGGAAACUUGAAUGCAUCUCUUCUUGGCUAGAUUAAAUAGUAUAAUCUAUUUAGUGUCUACUUUAAAUGGAUACAUGCAAAAAAAAAAUGACAUUAUGUAACCAUACCUCAUGGCUCAAUGAUAUGGUUAGAGGCGUGAGAAACCAAACAAACAUACUAUAUAUAAAUGUAGGGAUAUUUAGUUCCUUAGAGCUAUCAUGAAAACUCCCACGAGGAAUUUAUCUCGCGGACAGAUAUGUGCAUGUUUACUACAAUAGGUGUAAUAGGAUAGUCUAUCACCGAGUGGUUGUGGUGCCAGUGCCGGUGAGGUAGUAACGAGUCAUUUCUGACAUGUUAUAUUAUAUUCGUUACACCUAAUUAUUGUAGGUCGCUCAGUUUCUCAUGAAAUUCUAUCGACAACGUGGCUAGAUUGGUUAGAGAAUGGAGCUUUGGGGAUCUGGGAGUUCCAAAGAUGUCAAUCUUAGAAGACAUCUAGGGAAGACAUACUGGCCAAGUGGAGGAGGAGGGCAAUGUUAUGGCAUUAGUGAUGUUGUCAACCAUGGAGUAGAGGAGGUCUCGAGUGGGCAGUGACAAGGUGUAGAACUCUUAAUUGGAGUGGUUAGUGGCAGGGUGGUGGUGAGUGGCGACAGAUUCGGCAACGAGAUGUUUGUAGCUGAAUAUGGACAAAUUUGGGAAGGGCAAGGGAGCGCGUGCGCGGCAAGCUAUGUUGUUGAGAGAGAAUGCAACAAUGAAGGUAGCUAAGGCAUUUUAUUGUGACAAUCUCUGGCAUCACUUUUUUAUGACCUGCCAAAAUUUAUGCACCAAGGAAAUUGUGAAGACGGUGAACACGAAAGGUAUGAUAGCAGCACGCCAACCAGUGGCGGAGCUUAACUGGAAAUUUAGAGGGGGCCAGCUCCAUGCUUAAACUCAAAUUUAGCAUUAAUG
RNAcentral lists this long non-coding RNA (1568 nucleotides) under Setaria viridis. RNAcentral's name for it is "long non-coding RNA (SVIR_LNC005183)". The record is from RNAcentral. Lineage: Eukaryota; Viridiplantae; Streptophyta; Magnoliopsida; Poales; Poaceae.